GACGAACGCUGGCGGCGUGCUUAACACAUGCAAGUCGAACGUGCCUGUCCUCUGGGUUUCUGGGGGGUGGGUGAGUGGCGAACGGGUGAGUAACACGUGAGUAACCUGCCCCCUUCUUCGGGAUAACGGUCUGAAAGGGCUGCUAAUACCGGGUAUUCACUGGUCUCCGCAUGGGGUCUGGUGGAAAGGUUUUUUUCUGGUGGGGGAUGGGCUCGCGGCCUAUCAGCUUGUUGGUGGGGUGAUGGCCCACCAAGGCUUUGACGGGUAGCCGGCCUGAGAGGGUGACCGGUCACAUUGGGACUGAGAUACGGCCCAGACUCCUACGGGAGGCAGAAGUGGGGAAUAUUGCACAAUGGGCGCAAGCCUGAUGCAGCGACGCCGCGUGAGGGAUGGAGGCCUUCGGGUUGUGAACCUCUUUCGCCCGUGGUCAAGCCGCGACGUGGGUCGUGGUGAGGGUAGUGGGUAAAGAAGCGCCGGCUAACUACGUG
Molecule: ribosomal RNA, 488 nt
Filed under: uncultured bacterium
Lineage: Bacteria
Description: partial 16S ribosomal RNA
Rfam family: Bacterial small subunit ribosomal RNA
Source: RNAcentral